UAGGGAAUCUUCCACAAUGGACGCAAGUCUGAUGGAGCAACGCCGCGUGAGUGAAGAAGGUUUUCGGACCGUAAAGCUCUGUUGUUGGUGAAGAAGGAUAGAGGUAGUAACUGGCCUUUAUUUGACGGUAAUCAACCAGAAAGUCACGGCUAACUACGUGCCAGCAGCCGCGGUAAUACGUAGGUGGCAAGCGUUGUCCGGAUUUAUUGGGCGUAAAGCGAGCGCAGGCGGAAGAAUAAGUCUGAUGUGAAAGCCCUCGGCUUAACCGAGGAAUUGCAUCGGAAACUGUUUUUCUUGAGUGCAGAAGAGGAGAGUAGAACUCCAUGUGUAGCGGUGGAAUGCGUAGAUAUAUGGAAGAAUACCAGUGGCGAAGGCGGCUCUCUGGUCUGCAACUGACGCCGAGGCUCGAAAGCAUGGGUAGCGAACAGGAUUAGAUACCCUGGUAGUCCAUGCCGUAAACGAUGAGUGCUAAGUGUUGGGAGGCUUCCGCCUCUCAGUGCUGCAGCUAACGCAUUAAGCAACUCCGCCUGGGGGAGUACGACCGCAAGGUUGAA
Molecule: ribosomal RNA, 554 nt
Filed under: uncultured bacterium
Lineage: Bacteria
Description: partial 16S ribosomal RNA
Rfam family: Bacterial small subunit ribosomal RNA
Source: RNAcentral